CCUACGGGGGGCAGCAGUGGGGAAUAUUGGACAAUGGGGGGAACCCUGAUCCAGCCAUGCCGCGUGUGUGAAGAAGGCCCUCGGGUUGUAAAGCACUUUCAGUGAGGAAGAACGCCUGGUGGUUAAUACCCAUCAGGAAAGACAUCACUCACAGAAGAAGCACCGGCUAACUCCGUGCCAGCAGCCGCGGUAAUACGGAGGGUGCGAGCGUUAAUCGGAAUUACUGGGCGUAAAGCGCGCGUAGGUGGCUUGAUAAGCCGGUUGUGAAAGCCCCGGGCUCAACCUGGGAACGGCAUCCGGAACUGUCAAGCUAGAGUGCAGGAGAGGAAGGUAGAAUUCCCGGUGUAGCGGUGAAAUGCGUAGAGAUCGGGAGGAAUACCAGUGGCGAAGGCGGCCUUCUGGCCUGACACUGACACUGAGGUGCGAAAGCGUGGGUAGCAAACAGGAUUAGAUACCCGAGUAGUC
This 465-nucleotide ribosomal RNA is filed under the name Vreelandella stevensii. RNAcentral describes it as "partial 16S ribosomal RNA". It matches the Rfam family "Bacterial small subunit ribosomal RNA", at positions 338 to 795 of the family's 1533-position model. The record is from RNAcentral. Lineage: Bacteria; Pseudomonadati; Pseudomonadota; Gammaproteobacteria; Oceanospirillales; Halomonadaceae.